This 469-nucleotide ribosomal RNA is filed under the name uncultured bacterium. RNAcentral's name for it is "bacterial SSU rRNA". It matches the Rfam family "Bacterial small subunit ribosomal RNA", at positions 33 to 507 of the family's 1533-position model. The record is from RNAcentral.
GACACGCUGGCGGCGUGCCUAACACAUGCAAGUCGAGCGGAGGUACAAUGAGAGCAAUCGAGAUGUACUUUAGCGGCGGACGGGUGAGUAACGCGUGAGCAACCUGCCUAUCACAGGGGGAUAAGGCGGCGAAAGCCGCUCUAAUACCGCAUGAGACCCUCAAAGCGAUGCAAUGGGGGUGAAAGGAGCGAUCCGGUGAGAGAUGGGCUCGCGUCCGAUUAGGUAGUUGGUAGGGUAAGGGCCUACCAAGCCAAUGAUCGGUAGCCGGCCUGAGAGGGUGAACGGCCACAUUGGAACUGAGAGACGGUCCAAACUCCUACGGGAGGCAGCAGUGGGGAAUAUUGGGCAAUGGGCGGAAGCCUGACCCAGCAACGCCGCGUGAGGGAAGAAGGUUUUCGGAUUGUAAACCUCUGUUCUUGGGGAAGAGGAGGAGACGGUACCCAAGGAGGAAGCCCCGGCUAACUACAUG